This is a non-coding RNA of Punica granatum (pomegranate), 1388 nucleotides long. The record is from RefSeq and is a predicted model, not a curated record. NCBI's taxonomy places the organism in Eukaryota, Viridiplantae, Streptophyta, Magnoliopsida, Myrtales, Lythraceae.
AUAUGAACCGCUGACUAUCGUACGGACGGGGCUAUCAAAAGUGCCUAUAAGCCCAGCAAAGUAAAUGAAAAAGACAAGUCAAUUUCCCCUAAACAAACCCGACCGACCGACCGACCGACCGACCCAAUAACUCUCCUCUCUCAAUCCCCGAUCGUACCUCCGCCAUCGACACCACCGCCGUUCUGCCGUCACUGACGCUAUCACCGGCCGCCCCAGCUCUGCCUCAUCUCCGAGCUCCGCCCGACCCCGACCUCCAAAGCCUUAUCCUCUACCUGCCGUGCAGACCAUCAGCAUCACUUCGGCGUGACGGUCCUCCUCCGGAACGGGCAAGACCCAGCUGAGCUCACGUCGCGUCUUCUUUCCCAACGCGGUCUCCGGCGCAGCUCCGAGUCCUUAUCCACCGUCGGACCCUGAAACGGUAGCAGCGAAUGCCCCUCACUCUUCCCCCUCUCCCUAUGCAGGACAGUUAUGGUGCGUAUCUCUUGGUGUUAGACGAUAAACUAAGAAAAAGCCUGGUUUGAGCUCUCCUACCGUUUCUUGUGCUGGCUCAAAUGCUGCAAAAAUUGCUCAUUACCGUCCACAGAAACCUCCAAUUUGUUCGAGCAUGCGCCGAUCUUUUUAGAACCUGGCAAGGACUCUUUCAUCCUCAGAUGCUUCAAAUUAUUGAAAAAGAACACUUGCCUUUGGUUCUUCGCCUAAUGCAACUUCCUUGUCUUGUCUGACUCUCAAUCUCAGUGCCCUCCACAUAGCUUUCAUGUAAACCCCAGAUAUCUAGAAGGGCAACGGCUUCAUCGAUCAGUUAGGGCAUUGCCAAAAAUCACGGCAGCAUUCGCAGUGCUUUAGUUCCUCUAUUGUGGUAGAGCAACCAGCAUAUCAAGGUCACUGGACUGGGCUGCUGAUGGAUCACAAAAAUUGUUUAGAAUAGGCUCUGAUCUAGGUGCGUGUUAACUUAACAGAAGUUCGGGAAUUUCACCAACUCGAUGAUUCAAGUGAGAUGGAUAUAUCCAAACUCAAAAGAAAUGGUGUGUCGUUCGGAAUCCUUUGGCAGCUUUGAGAGCCUCACUAGAGGAACUUCCACCGGGACUUGCCUUUUCUUCAGUUAGUAAAAAGAAAUCGAUGAAUCCUAGACUAGUUUAGAGUCCAUGAAAUUUGUCAAAUUAAUUCUCUUCGACCUCCAAGGCGGCUUCUCAUCAGGUUCGGGAUAUUCUAAAUUAAUCCUAGACUGUAGAGUCCAGGAAAUUGCCAGAGCUCCGCGGAUAAUCUUAGCAGUUGGAUCGAAUUUUUAAUAUUGGUACGUUUCUCUCGAGGCUUAAGAUCACUGACAAUUUCAACUGAAGCUUAACAUUUGGGUCUGUCUAUCCGAAAUAUCAUAUGUUUUACAAUUUCAA